GACGAACGCUGGCGGCGUGCUUAACACAUGCAAGUCGAACGGAAAGGCCCUGCUUUUGUGGGGUGCUCGAGUGGCGAACGGGUGAGUAACACGUGGGUAACCUGCCCUUGACUUUGGGAUAACUUCAGGAAACUGGGGCUAAUACCGGAUAGGAGCUCCUGCUGCAUGGUGGGGGUUGGAAAGUUUCGGCGGUUGGGGAUGGACUCGCGGCUUAUCAGCUUGUUGGUGGGGUAGUGGCUUACCAAGGCUUAGACGGGUAGCCGGCCUGAGAGGGUGACCGGCCACAUUGGGACUGAGAUACGGCCCAGACUCCUACGGGAGGCAGCAGUGGGGAAUAUUGCACAAUGGGCGGAAGCCUGAUGCAGCAACGCCGCGUGCGGGAUGACGGCCUUCGGGUUGUAAACCGCUUUCGCCUGUGACGAAGCGUGAGUGACGGUAAUGGGUAAAGAAGCACCGGCUAACUACGUG
RNAcentral lists this ribosomal RNA (468 nucleotides) under uncultured bacterium. RNAcentral's name for it is "partial 16S ribosomal RNA". It matches the Rfam family "Bacterial small subunit ribosomal RNA", at positions 28 to 507 of the family's 1533-position model. The record is from RNAcentral.